This 372-nucleotide ribosomal RNA is filed under the name Triticum aestivum (bread wheat). Its description in RNAcentral is "partial small subunit ribosomal RNA". The record is from RNAcentral. Lineage: Eukaryota; Viridiplantae; Streptophyta; Magnoliopsida; Poales; Poaceae.
AUGAAUGCAGAAAUGGCAAAGAAAGAUACAGCUACAGAGAAGCUUCAACAGAAGUAUGAACUCCUGUGCAACCUGACAAGUGCUCAAGCAACUGUCAUCCAAAACCUGAAGUUGAAGAAUAUGAAAGAGAAGGAAUUGAUGAGUGAGGCUAGGAUGAAUUUGGAGUUGAAGAAUUCAGAGUUCACAAAGUUUGAGGAGAAGCUCACCCAAGAGAAUCUAGAGUUGAAGUUCCAGGUUGCUGAUCUGCUGAAGCUCAAGGAAAACCAUAAUGAAGAGAACCAGAUGCAAGAGUUUAAGAUUACUAAGCUCAUGAAGGCAGAGGAGAAGCUGAAGGAGAAGAUCAAGGGGAUCCAGGCCAUCUUGCAGAACUGA